This 870-nucleotide ribosomal RNA is filed under the name uncultured bacterium. RNAcentral describes it as "bacterial SSU rRNA". It matches the Rfam family "Bacterial small subunit ribosomal RNA", at positions 9 to 873 of the family's 1533-position model. The record is from RNAcentral.
AGAGUUUUGAUNCNUGGCUCAGGAUGAACGCUAGCGGCAGGGCUUUAACACAUGCAAGUCGANGGGGUAGGAGAAGCCUUGCUUUUCUGAGACCGGCGCACGGGUGCGUAACGCGUAUGCAAUCUACCUUUCACAAAGGGAUAGCCCAGAGAAAUUUGGAUUAAUACCUUAUAGUAAUACGACUUGGCAUCAAGAUGUAUUUAAAGAUUUAUCGGUGAAAGAUGAGCAUGCGUCCCAUUAGCUAGUUGGUAUGGUAACGGCAUACCAAGGCUACGAUGGGUAGGGGUCCUGAGAGGGAGAUCCCCCACACUGGUACUGAGACACGGACCAGACUCCUACGGGAGGCAGCAGUGAGGAAUAUUGGACAAUGGGCGCAAGCCUGAUCCAGCCAUGCCGCGUGCAGGAUGACGGUCCUAUGGAUUGUAAACUGCUUUUAUACAGGAAGAAACACCUCUACGUGUAGAGACUUGACGGUACUGUAAGAAUAAGGAUCGGCUAACUCCGUGCCAGCAGCCGCGGUAAUACGGAGGAUCCAAGCGUUAUCCGGAAUCAUUGGGUUUAAAGGGUCCGUAGGCGGCCAGGUAAGUCAGUGGUGAAAGCCCAUCGCUCAACGGUGGAACGGCCAUUGAUACUGCCUGGCUUGAAUUACAAGGAAGUAACUAGAAUAUGUAGUGUAGCGGUGAAAUGCUUAGAGAUUACAUGGAAUACCAAUUGCGAAGGCAGGUUACUACUUGUGGAUUGACGCUGAUGGACGAAAGCGUGGGUAGCGAACAGGAUUAGAUACCCUGGUAGUCCACGCCGUAAACGAUGGAUACUAGCUGUUGGGAGUGAUCUCAGUGGCUAAGCGAAAGUGAUAAGUUCCCCCCUGGA